UACGGAGGGGGCUAGCGUUGUUCGGAAUUACUGGGCGUAAAGCGCGCGUAGGCGGCUUUGUAAGUUAGAGGUGAAAGCCCGGGGCUCAACCCCGGAAAUGCCUUUAAGACUGCAUCGCUUGAAUCCAGGAGAGGUGAGUGGAAUUCCGAGUGUAGAGGUGAAAUUCGUAGAUAUUCGGAAGAACACCAGUGGCGAAGGCGGCUCACUGGCCUGGUAUUGACGCUGAGGUGCGAAAGCGUGGGGAGCAAACAGG
RNAcentral lists this ribosomal RNA (253 nucleotides) under uncultured bacterium. RNAcentral describes it as "partial 16S ribosomal RNA". It matches the Rfam family "Bacterial small subunit ribosomal RNA", at positions 524 to 776 of the family's 1533-position model. The record is from RNAcentral.